This 254-nucleotide ribosomal RNA is filed under the name uncultured bacterium. RNAcentral describes it as "partial 16S ribosomal RNA". It matches the Rfam family "Bacterial small subunit ribosomal RNA", at positions 524 to 776 of the family's 1533-position model. The record is from RNAcentral.
UACGAACUGUGCGAACGUUAUUCGGAAUCACUGGGCUUACAGGGUGCGUAGGCGGCUUGUUAAGUAGGGUGUGAAAGCCCCCGGCUCAACCGGGGAAUGGCGCCCUAAACUGGCGAGCUGGAGUGAGAUAGGGGUGUGCGGAACUUCCGGUGGAGCGGUGAAAUGCGUAGAUAUCUGGAGGAACACCGGUGGCGAAGGCGGCAUCCUGGACCAACACUGACGCUGAGUGAGCGAAAGCCAGGGGAGCAAACGGG